RNAcentral lists this ribosomal RNA (460 nucleotides) under uncultured bacterium. Its description in RNAcentral is "partial 16S ribosomal RNA". It matches the Rfam family "Bacterial small subunit ribosomal RNA", at positions 338 to 795 of the family's 1533-position model. The record is from RNAcentral.
CCUACGGGCGGCAGCAGUGAGGAAUAUUGGUCAAUGGACGCAAGUCUGAACCAGCCAUGCCGCGUGCAGGAAGACGGCUCUAUGAGUUGUAAACUGCUUUUGUACGAGGGUAAACUCAGAUACGCGUAUCUGUCUGAAAGUAUCGUACGAAUAAGGAUCGGCUAACUCCGUGCCAGCAGCCGCGGUAAUACGGAGGAUUCAAGCGUUAUCCGGAUUUAUUGGGUUUAAAGGGUGCGUAGGCGGUCGGAUAAGUUAGUGGUGAAAUCCCGAGGCUCAACUUCGGAAUUGCCUCUGAUACUGUUAGGCUAGAGAGUAGUUGCGGUAGGCGGAAUGUAUGGUGUAGCGGUGAAAUGCUUAGAGAUCAUACAGAACACCGAUUGCGAAGGCAGCUUACCAAGCUACGUCUGACGUUGAGGCACGAAAGCGUGGGGAGCAAACAGGAUUAGAUACCCGAGUAGUC